UCCGGGAUUGUGUAAUAGGUAGCACAAGGGAUUUUGGAUCCCUUUGUCUAGGUUCGAAUCCUAGUCCCGGAG
RNAcentral lists this transfer RNA (72 nucleotides) under Candidatus Endomicrobiellum neotermitis. Its description in RNAcentral is "tRNA-Gln". It matches the Rfam family "tRNA". Rfam says of the family: Transfer RNA (tRNA) molecules are approximately 80 nucleotides in length. Their secondary structure includes four short double-helical elements and three loops (D, anti-codon, and T loops). The record is from RNAcentral. Lineage: Bacteria; Pseudomonadati; Elusimicrobiota; Endomicrobiia; Endomicrobiales; Endomicrobiaceae.